This 468-nucleotide ribosomal RNA is filed under the name uncultured bacterium. RNAcentral's name for it is "partial 16S ribosomal RNA". It matches the Rfam family "Bacterial small subunit ribosomal RNA", at positions 28 to 507 of the family's 1533-position model. The record is from RNAcentral.
GACGAACGCUGGCGGCGUGCUUAACACAUGCAAGUCGAACGGAAAGGCCCUGCUUUUGUGGGGUGCUCGAGUGGCGAACGGGUGGGUAACACGUGAGUAACCUGCCCUUGACUUUGUGAUAACUUCAGGAAACUGGGGCUAAUACCGGAUAGGAGCUCCUGCUGCAUGGUGGGGGUUGGAAAGUUUCGGCGGUUGGGGAUGGACUCGCGGCUUAUCAGCUUGUUGGUGGGGUAGUGGCUUACCAAGGCUUUGACGGGUAGCCGGCCUGAGAGGGUGACCGGCCACAUUGGGACUGAGAUACGGCCCAGACUCCUACGGGAGGCAGCAGUGGGGAAUAUUGCACAAUGGGCGGAAGCCUGAUGCAGCAACGCCGCGUGCGGGAUGACGGCCUUCGGGUUGUAAACCGCUUUCGCCUGUGACGAAGCGUGAGUGACGGUAAUGGGUAAAGAAGCACCGGCUAACUACGUG